GUCGAAAUCCAGUCAAAAUCAAAUCUCAAAAAACAAAACACUGUUCCCCGUCCCCAUUUUUUUCCGGGCAUAAACACGGGGCUCGUCCCGUGCUUGCUCGCCGCCGCCGGCGGGUCGUGCCGAGGCCGCCGCCUCUCCGUCCUCUGUUUCCCCGCCGCUGCCACCCAUAUAUCCCCUUCGCUUCUCCCCCGCGUCCGGUAUCUGUUGCGGGCGCCUCCUCAUCUCGCUUCUCCGCCGCCGGCGCGGUCUUCUACCCUUUCCGUGCUUCCCCGCCGCCACCGCCGCCGCCAUACCCAUCCAGAGCGACGGACCUCUUCAGCGUCUGCAGAUUCCUUCCUCUCUCGGUGUGACUAGGUGCAGAUUCGGUGCUCCGCAGUGCUAGUUUGAUUUCCCGUUCAUGAACUGUUUAUACAAUUGUUGGAAUAUACUGGAAAAUUGUCGGACUUGAUGCUUUCUUUUGAACUAAAUUAGAACUGCCUGCUAAAAUACCAGUGUAAACUGAAUUCAAGCGCAUAAGUUGUCUGUUUUCAUCCAGCGAUUCUCCUAGUUAAAUCCCACCAGGGGGGUGGGGGUGGGGUGGGGGGCACCAUCUAGAUCUACCGCUGUCACCCAUUGGGCACUAGGGCAAUUUUUGAAUUGGAUGUAGUUAUAAUUCCAGUUAUGCACCCGGAUGGUUGCAAUUGUACCAAAAUUAUGUAUCUUCAGUUGAUCCUUCGUAUCUCUUUGUCGUUCAUGCACUCUAGGGCGGUGUUUGGGUUUUGUGUAGUUAUAAUUCUUGUCAUGCUGGACAGGACUGUAUCUGUUAAAAAAAUCUUUAUGCUGCAAUUAGUUGUAUACUAUGAUUUUUGGUAACAUUUGAUCCCUUUUGGGCAGGGCUUGGAAGGUACUUGUUUGGUCACACUCUCAGCGCUGACUGGUGGAAGGUGUUGUGGCGCUCUGUUGUCUGAUAUCUCUCUCGAAUCCAUAGCGAGAGCGUGGCUGCUGUUUGUACUUUUUUGAGCUGUGACGGAAUGGAGUGCAACAAGGAUGAGGCCCUAAGGGCGAAGGAAAUUGCAGAGAGGAAGUUCCAAUCCAGGGACCUGCAGGGGGCCAAGAAAUUCGCCCUCAAGGCCAAGGCUCUCUUUCCGGAUCUUGAAGGUAUUGUGCAGAUGAUCACUACCUUGGAUGUUUACCUCACUUCGGAGGUGAAGAUUGCUGGUGGGAAGGACUGGUACUCUAUCCUUUCCGUGGACAUGUCGGCAGAUGAUGAAACUCUGAAGAAGCAGUACAGGAAGUUGGUGCUUCAGCUCCAUCCCGACAAGAACAAGUCAGUUGGUGCUGAGGGUGCUUUCCAGAUGGUUCAAGAGGCAUGGACCGUGCUGUCUGACAAAACCAAGAGAGCGCUGUUUGACCAAAAAAUGAAAUUGAUUGCAAUGCAACAGAGGACAUCUCAAUCAAAUAAGACAAGUGCAGCCAAUGGCUUUGAACAUUUCGCAGCCAAAGCACCCGCUUCCAAGGCAAGUGCAAACAAAGAAAAGACAGGAUCAGCAACAUCUGNNNNNNNNNNNNNNNNNNNNNNNNNNNNNNNNNNNNNNNNNNNNNNNNNNNNNCCACCCCCACCCCCACAGCGGCCGCUUCCUCGCCAUCAGGCUGCUGCUCCAGCUCCACCUCCAGCAGCACAACCUACAUUUUGGACCUCAUGCAACAGGUGCAAGAUGAAUUUUGAAUACCUCAGAGAGUAUUUAAAUCGCAAUCUGCUUUGCCCUAGCUGCCGUGAGCCAUUCAUAGCAAAAGAGGUGCCGAUGCCACCACCUGAGGUUGUUCAGGCAGUACGUGAUUCAAACAUCCGUGGUGCAACUGAAGAUGCAAGCACUGGCAGAAAGUUUCAGUGGGGUCUGUUCUCAAGGACAGCUGGUCCAGCUAGUGCUACUGCAUCAUCUGCUGCUGGUGUUCAAGCUGCUAAUAUGGUUCAGCAGACGUAUGAGAAAGUCAAGAGAGAGAGGGAGGAGGCGCAAGCUGCAGCAAGAAGGGAAGAAGCUCUUCAGAGGAAGCACAAUCCUCUAAAAAGGAAAGGAAAUGUGUCCGAGAAUGUUAACCAUGGAAUGGGUGAUGUUGCAUCUGGAAAGAAGAUGAAAACUGUGGGUAACGAUGCUGGAGUUGGUUCUUCCUCUAUUCUCUCAGGUCCAUGGGCCAAUUAUGUUGGAACACAAGGUGGAACUAUACCAUUUUCAACCAACAGUGGAGCCUUUGAGUUUCAAGGUGCUAAUGGCGUGAUACCGAAUUGGAGACCCAGGCCUUCUACUCGGAUCAGCAUAACUAGGACUUUCUCUAAGAAGGAUAUUAGGAGCAUUUUGAUUGACAAGAUGAAGAGCGAUUUGAUGGAGAAUCUAAAGGAGAUAAGAAGUAAACCACUCCAAGUUACAGUUAAUGGAAAAGCUAGCGAGAAACAUGUGGUUAACGAACAUGUUGAGGGUAAUGAAACUCUUGCAUCAGAUGAUUCUACUGCAAACAAAGAUGUCUGUGCUGAUCCAGAGGAGAAAGGUUCUGCUAAUAGCGCAGAUGCUGAAAAUGAAGAUGACAACACUUUCUCCUAUACUGUUCCUGAUCCUGAUUUCCAUGAUUUUGACAAGGAUCGUACUGAGGAAUCUUUUCAGAGUGAUCAAAUUUGGGCUUCAUAUGAUGAUGAAGAUGGUAUGCCCCGUUAUUACGCAUACAUUCAGAAAGUUAUCUCCUUGACUCCAUUUAAGGUCAAAAUAAGUUAUCUUGCAUCGAGGACAAAUAGUGAAUUUGGACCAUUGAACUGGGCUUCUUCCGGCUUCAUAAAGACAUGCGGUGAUUUCAGGAUUGGUAAAUACGAAACCGUAGAUAUAAUCAACAUGUUCUCUCACCAGAUUAAAUGGGAGAAAGGUCCACGUGGGGUGGUCAAAAUUUAUCCGCGGAAAGGCGAUAUCUGGGCCUUGUACCGAAAUUGGUCCCCUGAUUGGAAUGGAGAUACUCCUGAUAAUGUGCUUCAUGUUUAUGAUCUGGUUGAGUUUUCCAGCAUCAUCAGGACCGGGAUGUCAUCAAGAGGAUUCCAAAAGGAGAGAUGUUUCGGUUUUCACAUCAGGUUCCCUUUUACAGGAUGUCAGGGGAAGAAGCUCCAAAUGUCCCCAAAGGUAGCUAUGAGGUAGAUCCAGCUGCUAUCUCUAAAGAACUUCUUCAGGGAAUCACAGAAACUGUGAAGGAGGCAGAGGGAACUUCUAAAUGCUGAUGCUGACUCGGUUAUGCCUUUGUUGACCUGCCGUUUUGAAUCAAAUAUUUGUUGACAUCUGCUAGUUUCUAUAGUUUCCUAGCCUUGACUAUCACCUUUGUAUACAGUUGUUGAUCUGGGGCUAGCCAUUCCUAAAUCAUCUUGUAUGGCAUCUGGGCAUGUGUCUUGUCAUCUCAAAACUUAAACAGUGAUGCUGAUAAUGUGAGUUAGAGACAUAGUCAUUUUGU
RNAcentral lists this ribosomal RNA (3456 nucleotides) under Triticum aestivum (bread wheat). Its description in RNAcentral is "partial small subunit ribosomal RNA". The record is from RNAcentral. Lineage: Eukaryota; Viridiplantae; Streptophyta; Magnoliopsida; Poales; Poaceae.